Molecule: ribosomal RNA, 465 nt
Filed under: uncultured bacterium
Lineage: Bacteria
Description: partial 16S ribosomal RNA
Rfam family: Bacterial small subunit ribosomal RNA
Source: RNAcentral
CCUACGGGUGACUGCAGGGGGGAAUAUUGCGCAAUGGGCGAAAGCCGGACGCAGCGACGCCGCGUGAGGGAUGAAGGUCUUCGGAGCGUAAACCUCUGUCAGCAGGGAAGAACGGUCACUGUGCUAAUCAGCAGUGAAUUGACGGUACCUGCAAAGGAAGCACCGGCGAACUCCGUGACAGCAGCCGCGGGAAUACGGAGGGUGCGGGCGUUAAUCGGAAUUACUGGGCGGAAAGCGCUCGUAGGCGGUAUGUCAAGUCAAGGGUGAAAUCCCAGCGCUCAACGUGGGGACUGCCUUGGAAACUGGCAAACUGGAGUGUGUGAGAGGAUAGUGGAAUUCCAGUUGUAGGAGUGAAAUCCGUAGAUAUCUGGAGGAACAUCAGUGGCGAAGGCGACUAUCUGGCACAUAACUGACGCUGAGGAGCGAAAGCGUGUGUAGCAAACAGGAUUAGAUACCCUUGUAGUC